GGGGAAUAUUGCACAAUGGGCGAAAGCCUGAUGCAGCAACGCCGCGUGAGUGACGAAUGUCUUCGGAUUGUAAAGCUCUGUCUUUGGGGACGAUAAUGACGGUACCCAAGGAGGAAGCCACGGCUAACUACGUGCCAGCGGCCGCGGUAAUACGUAGGUGGCGAGCGUUGUCCGGAUUUACUGGGCGGAAAGGAUGCGUAGGCGGAUGUUUAAGUGAGAUGUGAAAUUCCCGGGCUUAACUUGGGAGCUGCAUUUCAAACUGGAUAUCUAGAGUGCAGGAGAGGAGAAUGGAAUUCCUAGUGUAGCGGUGAAAUGCGUAGAGAUUAGGAAGAACACCAGUGGCGAAGGCGAUUCUCUGGGCUGUAACUGACGCUGAGGCGCGAAAGCGUGGGGAGCAAAC
RNAcentral lists this ribosomal RNA (400 nucleotides) under uncultured bacterium. RNAcentral describes it as "bacterial SSU rRNA". It matches the Rfam family "Bacterial small subunit ribosomal RNA", at positions 356 to 773 of the family's 1533-position model. The record is from RNAcentral.